RNAcentral lists this ribosomal RNA (720 nucleotides) under Costus gabonensis. Its description in RNAcentral is "eukaryotic LSU rRNA". The stretch from base 312 to 467 matches the Rfam family "5.8S ribosomal RNA". Lineage: Eukaryota; Viridiplantae; Streptophyta; Magnoliopsida; Zingiberales; Costaceae. The record is from RNAcentral.
UCAUUUAGAGGAAGGAGAAGUCGUAACAAGGUUUCCGUAGGUGAACCUGCGGAAGGAUCAUUGUCGAGACCCUACAAGGAAUGACUGCGAAUAUGUAAACCAAGUGUCACUGUUGGCUUUGGCGGGCAAGAUCCCCUUUGGCCCAGUGGCUUCGUGCACCCCAUCCCAUCUCAUCCCAUUGGGGUCGGAUGGGUAGGACGAACCAUGAAAGCCGGGCGCAAUGGGCGCCAAGGAACACGAACCUCGGGGGCAUAUAUUUGGGGCCAUAUUGGCCUCUAAUGCGCUCCCGUGUAUGAAUCCAAACCUCACAUGACUCUCGGCAACGGAUAUCUCGGCUCUCGCAUCGAUGAAGAACGUAGCGAAAUGUGAUAUUUGGUGUGAAUUGCAGAAUCCCGUGAACCAUCGAGUCUUUGAACGCAAGUUGCGCCCGAGGCCUUGCGGCUAAGGGCACGCCUGCCUGGGCGUCACACCAUCGACGCUCCACACCCAUCCCCAUGGCAUGGGCAGUGGAUGCGGAAGUUGGCCCCCCGUUUGCUAGGCACCCUUGCAUAUGGUCGGCCAAAGACUUUGGCUAUCGCGUGUCCCCAAGGACAUGAUGGGUGGUGGAUGCCCUUGAGCAUGCUGAAAUAUUAUGUCCUAACACGUGUGCGGCCACACACAAACCCCAUAUUUGGAUUGCGACCCCAGGUCAGGCGGGACCACCCGCUGAGUUUAAGCAUA